This 497-nucleotide ribosomal RNA is filed under the name uncultured bacterium. RNAcentral describes it as "partial 16S ribosomal RNA". It matches the Rfam family "Bacterial small subunit ribosomal RNA", at positions 28 to 507 of the family's 1533-position model. The record is from RNAcentral.
GAUGAACGCUGGCGGCGUGCCUAAUACAUGCAAGUCGAGCGAACAGAUGAGGAGCUUGCUCCUCUGACGUUAGCGGCGGACGGGUGAGUAACACGUGGAUAACCUACCUAUAAGACUGGGAUAACUUCGGGAAACCGGAGCUAAUACCGGAUAAUAUAUUGAACCGCAUGGUUCAAUAGUGAAAGACGGUUUUGCUGUCACUUAUAGAUGGAUCCGCGCCGCAUUAGCUAGUUGGUAAGGUAACGGCGUACCAAGGCAACGAUGCGUAGCCGACCUGAGAGGGUGAUCGGCCACACUGGAAGGGAGACACGGUCCAGACUCCUACGGGAGGCAGCAGUAGGGAAUCUUCCGCAAUGGGCGAAAGCCUGACGGAGCAACGCCGCGUGAGUGAUGAAGGUCUUCGGAUCGUAAAACUCUGUUAUUAGGGAAGAACAAAUGUGGAAGUAACUAUGCACGUCUUGACGGUACCUAAUCAGAAAGCCACGGCUAACUACGUG